Non-coding RNA from Trichonephila inaurata madagascariensis, 71 nucleotides. Lineage: Eukaryota; Metazoa; Arthropoda; Arachnida; Araneae; Nephilidae. The record is from the annotation of a GenBank genome assembly.
GGGGGUAUAGCUCAGUGGUAAAGUAUUCGACUGCAGUUCGAGAGGUCAUCGGUUCAUGCCGGGUGUCCUCU